GUGAGCCUAGCCUUUCAGCAGCACAUAUACUAAAAUUGGAACAACACAGAGAAGAUUAGUCUGGCCCCUGUGCAAGGAUGGCACACAAAUUUGUGAAGCGUUCCAUAUUUUU
Rattus norvegicus (Norway rat) is the source of this 112-nucleotide small nuclear RNA. The record is from Ensembl. NCBI's taxonomy places the organism in Eukaryota, Metazoa, Chordata, Mammalia, Rodentia, Muridae.